RNAcentral lists this ribosomal RNA (376 nucleotides) under uncultured bacterium. RNAcentral's name for it is "bacterial SSU rRNA". It matches the Rfam family "Bacterial small subunit ribosomal RNA", at positions 523 to 898 of the family's 1533-position model. The record is from RNAcentral.
AUACGUAGGGGGCAAGCGUUGUCCGGAAUUAUUGGGCGUAAAGCGCGCGCAGGCGGUCCAUUAAGUCUGGUGUUUAAAACUGGGGCUCAACCCUGGUACGCACUGGAAACUGGUGGACUUGAGUGCAAGAGAGGAGAGUGGAAUUCCACGUGUAGCGGUGAAAUGCGUAGAGAUGUGGAGGAACACCAGUGGCGAAGGCGACUCUCUGGCUUGCAACUGACGCUGAGGCGCGAAAGCGUGGGUAGCGAACAGGAUUAGAUACCCUGGUAGUCCACGCCGUAAACGAUGAAUGCUAGGUGUUAGGGGUUACGAAGCCCUUAGUGCCGAAGUCAACACAUUAAGCAUUCCGCCUGGGGAGUACGGUCGCAAGACUGAA